GGGGAUUUAGCUCAGUGGUAGAGCGCUUGCCUCGAAAGCGCAAGGCCCUGGGUUCAGUCCUCA
This 63-nucleotide transfer RNA is filed under the name Rattus norvegicus (Norway rat). It matches the Rfam family "tRNA". Rfam says of the family: Transfer RNA (tRNA) molecules are approximately 80 nucleotides in length. Their secondary structure includes four short double-helical elements and three loops (D, anti-codon, and T loops). The record is from Rfam by way of RNAcentral. Lineage: Eukaryota; Metazoa; Chordata; Mammalia; Rodentia; Muridae.